UAUGUUACUAAUAGUAAAAAGGCAGCAAAGAGUUAAAGUAAGUUAUUGUGGUGGCAUCAAAGGUUUAGUUGGAUGAAGUAAAAAUGGAUGUAAUAUCAAAAAGAUGGAAGUUGCCUUGUUGGUGAGCAAACCACCACCUAUAAGUAAAGAGUGUUGGAAGUAAGAAUCAUCUUUCUCUUUACUUCUUUUAGACUACAAUCCUUACUGAUACUAAGUGUUUGUAGUUUUUAGACUUCUUUUCUUCAAUAAGAUUCACUUUGUUGUUCCACAAUCACAUAUUAUGUACCACAUUCAAUAAUACCAAUCUUAAAUUGUAUAUCAUAUGGUGUUGUAUUACAAUUGGAUAUUUUGGAGUAUUGCAUCUUAAUUUAUUCUCU
Molecule: long non-coding RNA, 377 nt
Filed under: Physcomitrium patens
Lineage: Eukaryota; Viridiplantae; Streptophyta; Bryopsida; Funariales; Funariaceae
Description: long non-coding RNA (PPAT_LNC000412)
Source: RNAcentral